CAGCCGCCGCGGGAAUACGAAGGGUGCAAGCGUUAAUCGGAAUUACUGGGCGUAAAGCGCGCGUAGGUGGUUUGGUAAGAUGGAUGUGAAAUCCCCGGGCUCAACCUGGGAACUGCAUCCAUAACUGCCUGACUAGAGUACGGUAGAGGGUGGUGGAAUUUCCUGUGUAGCGGUGAAAUGCGUAGAUAUAGGAAGGAACACCAGUGGCGAAGGCGACCACCUGGACUGAUACUGACACUGAGGUGCGAAAGCUUGGGGAGCAAACAGGAUUAGAUACCCCUGUAGUCCCUGUCUCUUAUAU
This 301-nucleotide ribosomal RNA is filed under the name uncultured bacterium. RNAcentral describes it as "partial 16S ribosomal RNA". It matches the Rfam family "Bacterial small subunit ribosomal RNA", at positions 509 to 809 of the family's 1533-position model. The record is from RNAcentral.